CUUGUCUGUAAGUGCCACUUC
Molecule: non-coding RNA, 21 nt
Filed under: Arabidopsis thaliana (thale cress)
Lineage: Eukaryota; Viridiplantae; Streptophyta; Magnoliopsida; Brassicales; Brassicaceae
Source: RNAcentral